Molecule: ribosomal RNA, 462 nt
Filed under: uncultured bacterium
Lineage: Bacteria
Description: partial 16S ribosomal RNA
Rfam family: Bacterial small subunit ribosomal RNA
Source: RNAcentral
GACGAACGCUGGCGGCGUGCUUAACACAUGCAAGUCGAACGGAAAGGCCCUUCGGGGUCCUCGAGUGGCGAACGGGUGAGUAACACGUGGGUGAUCUGCCCUGCACUUUGGGAUAAGCCUGGGAGACUGGGGCUAAUACCGAAUAGGACCACGCGCUUCAUGGUGUGUGGUGGAAAGCGUUUGCGGUGUGGGAUGGGCGCGCGGCCUAUCAUCUUGUUGGUGGGGUAAUGGCGUACCAAGGCGAGGACGGGUAGCCGGCCUGAGAGGGUGACCGGCCACAAUGGGACUGAGAUACGGCCCAGACUCCUACGGUAGGCAGCAGUGGGGAAUAUUGCCCAAUGGGCGCAAGCCUGAUGCAGCGGCGCCGCGUGAGGGAUGACGGCCUUCGGGUUGUAAACCUCUUUCACCAGGGACGAUGCGUAAGUGACGUUACCUGGAGAAGAAGCACCGGCCAACUACGUG